Molecule: transfer RNA, 63 nt
Filed under: Serratella zapekinae
Lineage: Eukaryota; Metazoa; Arthropoda; Insecta; Ephemeroptera; Ephemerellidae
Description: tRNA-Gly
Rfam family: tRNA
About the family: Transfer RNA (tRNA) molecules are approximately 80 nucleotides in length. Their secondary structure includes four short double-helical elements and three loops (D, anti-codon, and T loops).
Source: RNAcentral
ACUUAUUUAGUAUAAUAGUAUAUUUGACUUCCAAUCAAAAGGUCUGAUCUCUCAGAAUAAGUA